This 497-nucleotide ribosomal RNA is filed under the name uncultured bacterium. RNAcentral describes it as "partial 16S ribosomal RNA". It matches the Rfam family "Bacterial small subunit ribosomal RNA", at positions 28 to 507 of the family's 1533-position model. The record is from RNAcentral.
GACGAACGCUGGCGGCGUGCCUAAUACAUGCAAGUUGAGCGCUGAAGGUUGGUACUUGUACCGACUGGAUGAGCAGCGAACGGGUGAGUAACGCGUGGGGAAUCUGCCUUUGAGCGGGGGACAACAUUUGGAAACGAAUGCUAAUACCGCAUAAAAACUUUAAACACAAGUUUUAAGUUUGAAAGAUGCAAUUGCAUCACUCAAAGAUGAUUCCGCGUUGUAUUAGCUAGUUGGUGAGGUAAAGGCUCACCAAGGCGAUGAUACAUAGCCGACCUGAGAGGGUGAGCGGCCACAUUGGGACUGAGACACGGCCCAAACUCCUACGGGAGGAAGCAGUAGGGAAUCUUCGGCAAGGGACGAAAGUCUGACCGAGCAACGCCGCGUGAGUGAAGAAGGGUUUCGGAUCGUAAAACUCUGUUGGUAGAGAAGAACGUUGGUGAGAGUGGAAAGCUCAUCAAGUGACGGUAACUACCCAGAAAGGGACGGCUAACUACGUG